Non-coding RNA from Pelobates cultripes (western spadefoot toad), 288 nucleotides. The record is from the annotation of a GenBank genome assembly. Lineage: Eukaryota; Metazoa; Chordata; Amphibia; Anura; Pelobatidae.
UCACAUACUUUUCCACCUGCACUGUGAAUGUUUACAUGGUGUGUUCAAUAAAAACAUGGCAACAUUUCAUUCUUUGUGUGUUAUUAGUUUAAGCAGACUGUGAUUGUCUAUUGUUGUGACUUAGAUGAUGAUCAGAUCACAUUUUAUGACCAAUUUGUGCAGAAAUCCAUAUCAUUCCAAAGGGUUCACAUACUUUUCCGUAGAGGGAGCCUGAGAAACGGCUACCACAUCCAAGGAAGGCAGCAGGCAAGCAAAUUACCCACUCCCGACGCGGGGAGGUAGUGACGA